AAUUUUACCUCUUGCUCAACCUAUGGCACAUUUACCAGAUAGUAUUCAGCCUAGAUUAAACAUCAAGGUAAACUUGAAGGAGAGAGAAGUCACACAUGAGAAGGAGCAAACACCUGUGUGUGUGUAUCGGGCCUGUGAUUUGCUCUGACUAUCAAUGUUUACUGAACGGAGGGGAAGAAGCUCUGGGCUGAACAGGAUUCCAGAAAUGGCUGAGGCCUGGAGCCGGUUGCUUGAGGCCCCAUGGAGAGUGGUUCCCUGAGCAGACAUUCAAAAGCACUCCAUCUGCAUCGUGCGAGCCCCCACAUUCAACUAGGAUGGAAUAUCGCAGUGUUGGCUUCCUGAGUGGCCGCUGAGCUGAGGGCCUGCAUGACAAACCCUGGAGACACAGGAUACUUGAUGUAACUCUGAGCAAGCAUAUCGGCAGCAAUCACUUUCCAGGAGUAACGAAAGCUGCCAUCUGAUGGUUACGUGCUGGGCCUCAAGCUAAGCUCUUUAUGUUCCCCACGUUGAAUCCUCACAGCGACUCUCUGAGAUGGGAUUAUACACAUCUUAGAAACGAGGAAACUGUUUCACAGGGAAUAGCUUAGUCAUUGCCCCAGGUCACACAGCCAGGUGGUAGAGCACCGAGGAUUUGAACCCAAGAAUUCUGCCUUCCAAGUUCAUCGUAUCGUCUUUCCCUAUACUGUGAGGCAGCCUGAGUUUAGCUUCCAAACCAAAGGCUUAUUACAGCGAUGGAAAAGUGCUAGAGGGGUGGAGUAGACAAUGCAAUUUCCCCAUAGAAGUCAUGGAAUUUGUCUAACUACUUGGACACCCUACAAGUGAGAUUGCAUAGUUCUGAAAGGAGGGGUCCCCUACCCUGCAGCCCUUGUCCACUGACGCGUCCUGUUAAUUAGAAGCCACACACAUGCACACGUGCACACACACAGCACCUAGCAUCUGAAACAGACUCAUGAAACACCAGCAGGUGGCUGACAGGAAGCCUAGGGUUUCAAAGGACAACACUCAGGUAGAUCGCAGUCAGCUGGGGAUGGCAGCCGGGAGGGCAAGGCUCCUCAAACCACAGAAGUUCCACAGCGCUGCUCACGCGUGUGGUCGGAGCCCUCUGCAAACACUGCGCCUCAGCUACAGCACCCCACCGCUGGAUGGAAGCCCUUCCCUUGUUUCGGUCGAGUUUGCCCUUCUGGUGCAGGCACCCCCUCUCCCGGCCUGAGAAUAAGGAAUUA
RNAcentral lists this long non-coding RNA (1223 nucleotides) under Equus caballus (horse). RNAcentral describes it as "lncRNA (ENSECAG00000041735.2)". Lineage: Eukaryota; Metazoa; Chordata; Mammalia; Perissodactyla; Equidae. The record is from RNAcentral.